Molecule: ribosomal RNA, 2787 nt
Filed under: Escherichia coli
Lineage: Bacteria; Pseudomonadati; Pseudomonadota; Gammaproteobacteria; Enterobacterales; Enterobacteriaceae
Description: bacterial LSU rRNA
Rfam family: Bacterial large subunit ribosomal RNA
Source: RNAcentral
AGCGUACACGGUGGAUGCCCUGGCAGUCAGAGGCGAUGAAGGACGUGCUAAUCUGCGAUAAGCGUCGGUAAGGUGAUAUGAACCGUUAUAACCGGCGAUUUCCGAAUGGGGAAACCCAGUGUGUUUCGACACACUAUCAUUAACUGAAUCCAUAGGUUAAUGAGGCGAACCGGGGGAACUGAAACAUCUAAGUACCCCGAGGAAAAGAAAUCAACCGAGAUUCCCCCAGUAGCGGCGAGCGAACGGGGAGCAGCCCAGAGCCUGAAUCAGUGUGUGUGUUAGUGGAAGCGUCUGGAAAGGCGCGCGAUACAGGGUGACAGCCCCGUACACAAAAAUGCACAUAUUGUGAGCUCGAUGAGUAGGGCGGGACACGUGGUAUCCUGUCUGAAUAUGGGGGGACCAUCCUCCAAGGCUAAAUACUCCUGACUGACCGAUAGUGAACCAGUACCGUGAGGGAAAGGCGAAAAGAACCCCGGCGAGGGGAGUGAAAAAGAACCUGAAACCGUGUACGUACAAGCAGUGGGAGCACGCUUAGGCGUGUGACUGCGUACCUUUUGUAUAAUGGGUCAGCGACUUAUAUUCUGUAGCAAGGUUAACCGAAUAGGGGAGCCGAAGGGAAACCGAGUCUUAACUGGGCGUUAAGUUGCAGGGUAUAGACCCGAAACCCGGUGAUCUAGCCAUGGGCAGGUUGAAGGUUGGGUAACACUAACUGGAGGACCGAACCGACUAAUGUUGAAAAAUUAGCGGAUGACUUGUGGCUGGGGGUGAAAGGCCAAUCAAACCGGGAGAUAGCUGGUUCUCCCCGAAAGCUAUUUAGGUAGCGCCUCGUGAAUUCAUCUCCGGGGGUAGAGCACUGUUUCGGCAAGGGGGUCAUCCCGACUUACCAACCCGAUGCAAACUGCGAAUACCGGAGAAUGUUAUCACGGGAGACACACGGCGGGUGCUAACGUCCGUCGUGAAGAGGGAAACAACCCAGACCGCCAGCUAAGGUCCCAAAGUCAUGGUUAAGUGGGAAACGAUGUGGGAAGGCCCAGACAGCCAGGAUGUUGGCUUAGAAGCAGCCAUCAUUUAAAGAAAGCGUAAUAGCUCACUGGUCGAGUCGGCCUGCGCGGAAGAUGUAACGGGGCUAAACCAUGCACCGAAGCUGCGGCAGCGACGCUGAUGCGUUGUUGGGUAGGGGAGCGUUCUGUAAGCCUGUGAAGGUGUGCUGUGAGGCAUGCUGGAGGUAUCAGAAGUGCGAAUGCUGACAUAAGUAACGAUAAAGCGGGUGAAAAGCCCGCUCGCCGGAAGACCAAGGGUUCCUGUCCAACGUUAAUCGGGGCAGGGUGAGUCGACCCCUAAGGCGAGGCCGAAAGGCGUAGUCGAUGGGAAACAGGUUAAUAUUCCUGUACUUGGUGUUACUGCGAAGGGGGGACGGAGAAGGCUAUGUUGGCCGGGCGACGGUUGUCCCGGUUUAAGCGUGUAGGCUGGUUUUCCAGGCAAAUCCGGAAAAUCAAGGCUGAGGCGUGAUGACGAGGCACUACGGUGCUGAAGCAACAAAUGCCCUGCUUCCAGGAAAAGCCUCUAAGCAUCAGGUAACAUCAAAUCGUACCCCAAACCGACACAGGUGGUCAGGUAGAGAAUACCAAGGCGCUUGAGAGAACUCGGGUGAAGGAACUAGGCAAAAUGGUGCCGUAACUUCGGGAGAAGGCACGCUGAUAUGUAGGUGAAGUCCCUCGCGGAUGGAGCUGAAAUCAGUCGAAGAUACCAGCUGGCUGCAACUGUUUAUUAAAAACACAGCACUGUGCAAACACGAAAGUGGACGUAUACGGUGUGACGCCUGCCCGGUGCCGGAAGGUUAAUUGAUGGGGUCAGCGCAAGCGAAGCUCUUGAUCGAAGCCCCGGUAAACGGCGGCCGUAACUAUAACGGUCCUAAGGUAGCGAAAUUCCUUGUCGGGUAAGUUCCGACCUGCACGAAUGGCGUAAUGAUGGCCAGGCUGUCUCCACCCGAGACUCAGUGAAAUUGAACUCGCUGUGAAGAUGCAGUGUACCCGCGGCAAGACGGAAAGACCCCGUGAACCUUUACUAUAGCUUGACACUGAACAUUGAGCCUUGAUGUGUAGGAUAGGUGGGAGGCUUAGAAGUGUGGACGCCAGUCUGCAUGGAGCCGACCUUGAAAUACCACCCUUUAAUGUUUGAUGUUCUAACGUUGACCCGUAAUCCGGGUUGCGGACAGUGUCUGGUGGGUAGUUUGACUGGGGCGGUCUCCUCCUAAAGAGUAACGGAGGAGCACGAAGGUUGGCUAAUCCUGGUCGGACAUCAGGAGGUUAGUGCAAUGGCAUAAGCCAGCUUGACUGCGAGCGUGACGGCGCGAGCAGGUGCGAAAGCAGGUCAUAGUGAUCCGGUGGUUCUGAAUGGAAGGGCCAUCGCUCAACGGAUAAAAGGUACUCCGGGGAUAACAGGCUGAUACCGCCCAAGAGUUCAUAUCGACGGCGGUGUUUGGCACCUCGAUGUCGGCUCAUCACAUCCUGGGGCUGAAGUAGGUCCCAAGGGUAUGGCUGUUCGCCAUUUAAAGUGGUACGCGAGCUGGGUUUAGAACGUCGUGAGACAGUUCGGUCCCUAUCUGCCGUGGGCGCUGGAGAACUGAGGGGGGCUGCUCCUAGUACGAGAGGACCGGAGUGGACGCAUCACUGGUGUUCGGGUUGUCAUGCCAAUGGCACUGCCCGGUAGCUAAAUGCGGAAGAGAUAAGUGCUGAAAGCAUCUAAGCACGAAACUUGCCCCGAGAUGAGUUCUCCCUGACUCCUUGA